UCCGUAGGUGAACCUGCGGAAGGAUCAUUUACAGAAUGAAAAGUGCUUAACUGCAUUUUUUCUUACACAUGUGUUUUUCUCUUUUUGAAAACUUUGCUUUGGUAGGCCUUCUAUAUGGGGCCUGCCAGAGAUUAAACUCAACCAAAUUUUAUUUAAUGUCAACCGAUUAUUUAAUAGUCAAAACUUUCAACAACGGAUCUCUUGGUUCUCGCAUCGAUGAAGAACGCAGCGAAAUGCGAUAAGUAAUAUGAAUUGCAGAUAUUCGUGAAUCAUCGAAUCUUUGAACGCACAUUGCGCCCUUUGGUAUUCCAAAGGGCAUGCCUGUUUGAGCGUCAUUUCUCCCUCAAACCCUCGGGUUUGGUGUUGAGCGAUACGCUGGGGUUUGCUUGAAAGAAAGGCGGAGUAUAAACUAAUGGGAUAGGUUUUUUCCACUCAUUGGUACAAACUCCAAAACUUCUUCCAAAUUCGAGGUCAAAUCAGCGUGUACUACCCGCUGAACUUAAGCAUAUCAAUAAGCGGAGGAAAAG
Molecule: ribosomal RNA, 527 nt
Filed under: Lodderomyces parapsilosis
Lineage: Eukaryota; Fungi; Ascomycota; Pichiomycetes; Serinales; Debaryomycetaceae
Description: eukaryotic LSU rRNA
Rfam family: 5.8S ribosomal RNA (bases 182-335)
Source: RNAcentral